RNAcentral lists this long non-coding RNA (882 nucleotides) under Brachypodium distachyon (stiff brome). Its description in RNAcentral is "long non-coding RNA (BDIS_LNC003250)". The record is from RNAcentral. Lineage: Eukaryota; Viridiplantae; Streptophyta; Magnoliopsida; Poales; Poaceae.
GUGGUAUAAUUUUUAUAACAUAUGAUCCACAUUUUGUUGGUGUAAUUGAUGGUGAAAGUUAGAUCUUGAAAUGCGUGGGCAUGUUAUAUUAUGAAACGGAGGGAAUAUCUAGUUAUGGAAGAGCUUUGAUAGAUCUAAAGUAAGUUGGUUUAUAUUUUUUUUUUUCUGGAAGGGGGAGCUCCCCGGUCUCUGCAUGGGAGCGAUGCACGCAACCAAGGAUACCUCAACACUAGGACAUGGCAUAUAUGUUCUAAUUGAGAAUAACAAAUUAAAAACAUCUCGUUGUGUCUCAAAGUGCGCGUGUCCAACUUAGUGAUCUCCAUCCUGAGUUCAUACUAUGGUUACCAUAUCUAUGUCCAUGACUUGUGAACAUAGUCAUCAACCGAGUCGUAUACUAGCUAAGGAUAUGUGUCCGCAUAUUCUUAAGGACUACGGACCAUUAAAACAAUCACCAUAGAAUAAAUAGUCUCACAAACAAGUCGCGUACUUGUUGAUACAUACAAGUGAUGAUAUUCAUGGACAAUAGAAAUAACUCAUGAAUACAUAGAGAAUAGUACUGUUGCAUUAGGGCAUAUAUGUAACAAGCCACAUAUAUAGACUUCACUAUUGAUUGUCUGGAGGAACGUAACGACCAUUGGAAAACACCCGACUGAUCAUUAAGAACAAUGUCGUCAAGCAUGGCUAGCAUGUCAUUCCAUGCCACAAAAUUUGCACCAAUAACUGCGCUUCUAAAAGCGCUUCGUAGUAAAAGACCCGAACCUCAAGAAAAUCCGCUUGACCCUAUUUGCCCCUCCAAAGACGAUAGCUAGUGAGCUUGUCUUGUUUUUUUAGAAACACAGUACAAAUAUAGACGCUUGCAACACACGCGUACACUCUCCCCUA